This 71-nucleotide transfer RNA is filed under the name Papilio xuthus (Asian swallowtail). It matches the Rfam family "tRNA". Rfam says of the family: Transfer RNA (tRNA) molecules are approximately 80 nucleotides in length. The record is from Rfam by way of RNAcentral. Lineage: Eukaryota; Metazoa; Arthropoda; Insecta; Lepidoptera; Papilionidae.
GCGUCGGUGGCUCAGGGGUUUAAGCACUAGACUUGCAAUCUAUAGGUCCUGGGUUCGAAUCCCGCCAUGUA